UCUUUCGCGCGGCCGAAGAGUAAGAUUGGGCUUGCAAGCGGAAACGCGCCACAGCCGGUUCCGGUGGCCGCAUCGGCGGCAAAAGCGGCGGGAUGGAGGAGGCGCCUCACGACUGUCCGGGGGCCGACAGCGCCCAGGCGGGCCGAGGGACCUCAUGUCAGGGAUGCCCCAACCAGCGGCUGUGCGCCUCUGGAGCCGGCGCUGCUCCGGACCCGGCCAUCGAGGAAAUCAAAGAGAAAAUGAAGACCGUGAAGCACAAGAUCUUGGUGCUGUCCGGGAAAGGCGGCGUUGGGAAGAGCACAUUCAGUGCCCACCUUGCCCAUGGCCUGGCAGAGGAUGAAAACACACAGAUUGCUCUUCUAGACAUCGACAUAUGUGGGCCGUCUAUUCCCAAGAUAAUGGGACUGGAAGGGGAACAGGUUCACCAGAGCGGCUCAGGCUGGUCUCCAGUGUACGUGGACGACAACCUGGGGGUGAUGUCAGUGGGUUUCUUGCUCAGCAGUCCCGACGACGCCGUGAUCUGGAGGGGACCAAAGAAGAAUGGCAUGAUCAAGCAGUUCCUCCGUGACGUGGACUGGGGCGAAGUUGACUUCCUCAUCGUGGACACCCCGCCCGGGACGUCGGACGAGCACCUCUCGGUGGUCCAGUACCUGGCCGCAGCGCACAUCGACGGUGCCGUGAUCAUCACCACGCCCCAGGAAGUGUCGCUCCAGGAUGUCCGCAAGGAGAUCAACUUCUGCCACAAGGUGAAGCUGCCCAUCAUCGGGGUGGUGGAGAACAUGAGUGGCUUCAUCUGCCCCAAGUGUAAGAAGGAGUCUCAGAUAUUCCCCCCCACCACCGGCGGUGCGGCAGCCAUGUGCCAGGACCUGAAGGUCCCGCUCCUCGGCAGAGUGCCUCUGGAUCCGCACAUAGGUGGGAAAGAGCUGUGACAAAGGCCAGUCUUUUUUUACUGAAGCACCUGACUCACCAGCCACGUUAGCCUACAGAAGUAUAAUCCAGAGAAUCCAAGAGUUCUGUGGUUUCCAGCAGUCGAAAGAAGAGACCCUCACCAGUUCCUGAAACGGGAGUGCUGAGGACCCAGUUAGCGGCUGCGGAACCUGUGAGGGCCAGGCAAAAAGGGACCAGACUGCCAUGGUUGAAGUCACUGUCUCAGUCUGUGCACUCUGCUUUAGGACCUCUGGAAAGGGCGUUCCUUGCCAGUGCGCCGUUUUAAUUUAAACACAUCUCCUCAGACCUCUCUUCCGAGGCCUCCUUCACGUGAAAAAUAAACGGAUGGUGGGACUCAGGA
Tupaia belangeri chinensis (Chinese tree shrew) is the source of this 1288-nucleotide RNA transcript. It is a transcript of the gene named NUBP iron-sulfur cluster assembly factor 1, cytosolic, with no coding region annotated. The transcript has 11 exons. NCBI's taxonomy places the organism in Eukaryota, Metazoa, Chordata, Mammalia, Scandentia, Tupaiidae. The record is from RefSeq and is a predicted model, not a curated record.